GAAAAGCCUUAUUUCGGUAGGGCGAGUAAAGUGGCGCACGGGUGAGUAACGCGUAGGCAACUACCCCUGGAUACGGGAUAACACUUCGAAAGGGGUGCUAAUACCGGAUAAGACCUUUUGGCGGGAGCUGGGAGGUGAAAGUGGGCUGAUCCGUUUGGAAGCUCACGUUUGGGGAAGGGCCUGCGUCCUAUCAGCUAGUUGGUGAGGUAACGGCUCACCAAGGCGACGACGGGUAGCUGGUCUGAGAGGAUGAUCAGCCACACUGGCACUGGAACACGGGCCAGACUCCUACGGGAGGCAGCAGUGAGGAAUUUUGCGCAAUGGGAGCAAUCCUGACGCAGCAACGCCGCGUGGGUGAUGAAGGCCUUCGGGUCGUAAAGCCCUGUCAGGUGGGAAGAAAACCUCGGGAGCGAAUAGAGCUCGAGCUUGACGGUACCACCAGAGGAAGCACCGGCUAACUCCGUGCCAGCAGCCGCGGUAA
This 481-nucleotide ribosomal RNA is filed under the name uncultured delta proteobacterium. RNAcentral describes it as "bacterial SSU rRNA". It matches the Rfam family "Bacterial small subunit ribosomal RNA", at positions 68 to 523 of the family's 1533-position model. Lineage: Bacteria; Deltaproteobacteria. The record is from RNAcentral.